Molecule: ribosomal RNA, 222 nt
Filed under: uncultured Glomeromycotina
Lineage: Eukaryota; Fungi; Glomeromycota
Description: partial 18S ribosomal RNA
Rfam family: Eukaryotic small subunit ribosomal RNA (bases 46-222)
Source: RNAcentral
GGAUUAAUAUGUUGGUCGUGCCUUGGUACGUACUGGCAUUAUUGAUUCCUACCUUCUGAAGAACUUCGAUGUCAUUAAUUUGGUGUCUUGGGGAAUCAGGACUGUUACUUUGGAAAAAAUUAGAGUGUUUAAAGCAGGCUCGCGCUUGAAUACAUUAGCAUGGAAUAAUGAAAUAGGACGUUUGAUUCUAUUUUUGUUGGUUUCUAGGAUCGAUGUAAUGAU